Non-coding RNA from Populus trichocarpa (black cottonwood), 156 nucleotides. NCBI's taxonomy places the organism in Eukaryota, Viridiplantae, Streptophyta, Magnoliopsida, Malpighiales, Salicaceae. The record is from Rfam.
UCUAGAACUCGAGAUAUGGGCUGAACACCAAAUAGUGUCUGGGCUACAUGAUAGAUUCAAAUUUCUCUUUAGUUGCUAAGAUUUAAGCUUAAAAAUGGUAGUUUUGAAUCUUGAACUCUUCAUGAAUGUUUUAGGCCUAUGUCUUGGAUUUCCAUC